RNAcentral lists this ribosomal RNA (426 nucleotides) under uncultured prokaryote. RNAcentral's name for it is "bacterial SSU rRNA". It matches the Rfam family "Bacterial small subunit ribosomal RNA", at positions 355 to 774 of the family's 1533-position model. The record is from RNAcentral.
UCGAGAAUUUUUCACAAUGGGCGCAAGCCUGAUGGAGCGACGCCGCGUGGGGGAUGAAUGGCUUCGGCCCGUAAACCCCUGUCAUUCGCGAUCAAGGCGCAUUAUUUAAAAGAUGAUGUGUUGAUAGUAGCGAAAGAGGAAGGGACGGCUAACUCUGUGCCAGCAGCCGCGGUAAUACAGAGGUCCCAAGCGUUGUUCGGAUUCACUGGGCGUAAAGGGUGCGUAGGUGGCGAAGUAAGUCGGAUGUGAAAUCUCCGAGCUCAACUCGGAAACUGCAUUGGAAACUACCCUGCUCGAGGAUUGGAGGGGGGACUGGAAUACUUGGUGUAGCAGUGAAAUGCGUAGAUAUCAAGUGGAACACCAGUGGCGAAGGCGAGUCCCUGGACAACUCCUGACACUGAGGCACGAAAGCUAGGGGAGCAAACA